This 241-nucleotide ribosomal RNA is filed under the name Mycobacterium tuberculosis. RNAcentral describes it as "partial 16S ribosomal RNA". It matches the Rfam family "Bacterial small subunit ribosomal RNA", at positions 501 to 740 of the family's 1533-position model. The record is from RNAcentral. Lineage: Bacteria; Bacillati; Actinomycetota; Actinomycetes; Mycobacteriales; Mycobacteriaceae.
CUCUGUGCCAGCAGCCGCGGUAAUACAGAGGGUGCGAGCGUUAAUCGGAAUUACUGGGCGUAAAGCGAGUGUAGGUGGCUCAUUAAGUCACAUGUGAAAUCCCCGGGCUUAACCUGGGAACUGCAUGUGAUACUGGUGGUGCUAGAAUAUGUGAGAGGGAAGUAGAAUUCCAGGUGUAGCGGUGAAAUGCGUAGAGAUCUGGAGGAAUACCGAUGGCGAAGGCAGCUUCCUGGCAUAAUAU